This 603-nucleotide long non-coding RNA is filed under the name Sorghum bicolor (sorghum). RNAcentral describes it as "long non-coding RNA (SBIC_LNC011593)". The record is from RNAcentral. Lineage: Eukaryota; Viridiplantae; Streptophyta; Magnoliopsida; Poales; Poaceae.
CUUGGUGUCGCGUUGCUUGUACUGAUGUAAUGUAUGGUAGAGGCAAUAUUGAUGUUUGUGUGUGGCUGACUGCAUAGUUGAUAUUGUUGAUUUGAACAAAUUCAAAACCAUAUGCAAUAGUUUAGCAAGUACGUAGACCUUACGUAGAUGGUUAAAGUUAAUUAGAUAAACAAAGCAAGCAUAAUCAAACAAAUUAGUUGCUUGGAACUUGGAAGCGAACAAGCCGUUAUGGAACAUCCUAUGUAGGGAAGUUAAGGGGGGCUCAUGCCCCCAUCUACGACGAUCGAGCCCCUUCGAUGUGCAUAUAAUAUUUUUAAUAACAUAUAUUUACUAUGUAAUCUACAUAUAUUAGCUAUAAUAAGUCUAAUAUAAAUUGAUAGUAACUAUAAUGUUUUCAACAAAUACAACAUUAAUUCUAUUAGAUCCAAUUUUAGGAAGAAGGAAGGGGAAAAGGAAGAAAAUGAAAGGACAUGAAAAGAAAUAAAAGAAAAAAUUCUCGAGAAAAAUGAUCCAUCAUGAAGGCCGUGGUGGGUAGCGACAAUCACCAAUUUUUUUGUUUGGAAAAGAAGGAAAACCAUAUCUAAUGGUCUGGAUGGACUCGCC